RNAcentral lists this long non-coding RNA (1584 nucleotides) under Musa acuminata (dwarf banana). RNAcentral's name for it is "long non-coding RNA (MACU_LNC001496)". Lineage: Eukaryota; Viridiplantae; Streptophyta; Magnoliopsida; Zingiberales; Musaceae. The record is from RNAcentral.
CUCGUUCUCGAGCACCACGAUCAGCUCGGCCGCCGCCAACUGCGAUUCAGGGACAUGGCCCACGACAUCCUCGGUAAUGUUUCUUAUACGUCACCACCAAAUGACCUCUAUUCCUUUUGCGGCUUUUGUACCGCGUUGUUGUUCUUGCUGUAGAAUAUUUAUUUUACGUAGAUAUCAAACGAUACUAGUUUUGUUAGAAGCAUGGUCAUAUUUUGGGAUCAGGAGUUUUGACUUGGUCCAAAAUGGAUACGAAGGAACAAAAAGAGACCGGCCAAUAUUUUCUCGCUAAGAGACAUCAAACUGAUAUGUGAACGAAAGCUGCAGUCAAGAAAAAGGAUCACUAUGGAGGUUGGGUGGGCUUCGGCUAGAGAGGGAAAUCAUUUCACCUGCUCUUUGCCUACUUGCGUAACCAUGGUCAACGUGAACAUAUAUCUAUCUACAUGCAGCUUUGACUAAAGGGCCAUAGUUUAGCCAGAAUUAUCUUCCACACUAGCAUCAUACGUUAAAUAAGUCAACAACCAAUUGGUUUGCAAUCCAAAGCCAACCAAAAUUUGAGAAUAUAUGACAUGAUAAAUGGCAGGAAGAAUAUUGACUUGUUAUCAAUAUCAUCUAACACUAACCUUGGUUCUGAAACCCGGUUUAGCCAACGAACCAAUUCCAGGCAGGAACUAACGAUUCUGAUUCCGAUUUCAAUUAUAUGAUUGCAGGCAUCUAUCUUUAUUUUUUUUAUUUGUUAUUUUAGUUUUUAAAAUACUUCUCUAAUCAGCUAUUUAUUAAAUUAUUUGAAGGGUGGAUGUCAUUUACAGUUUUUUUGUUUCUUUUUGGUCAAUUCAGAAUGCUAAUCUUGAACUAAUCAAACGUUUGGGUUCGUAUGAAACAGGGCCAAAAUGGGGUCGUUACUAUGUUGCCCCAAUUCAGUUCACAAUAUGCUUUUCUACAGUUUUUGGUGUAGGCCUACUGGGAGGACAAAGCUUGAAGGUACAUUUAUUGGCUCAAUUCACCUCCUACACCCUUGCACAACCUAUCAAACUAGUCAUUUGUUGCGUUAACCGGACGAAUUAAAUCAAAAUUUUUAUUGGCUCAAUUCACCUCCUGCAGCCUAUCAAACUAAUUAUUCGUUGACUAGAAGAACUAAAUUAAACUAAGCUUUUACAGUCCAUAUACCUGAUUGCAAGGCCGGAAGGCACGAUGAAAUUUUAUGAGUUCGUGGCCAUCUUCGGGGUAUUCAUGAUGGUCCUGGCGCAGAUCCCCUCCUUCCACUCCCUCAGGCAUGUCAACCUCAUCUCUCUAGUGCUCUGCUUGGCGUACAGUGCAUGUGCCACUGCAGGUUCCAUUCAUGCAGGUAUUAUUCCUUUCCCUCUCUACGCUUAAUACACCAUAGAUUACUAGGAUUCUAUUGGACAAUUUAUUUUAGAUAAACAAAACAUAACACAUACCUUGAAUUGAUGACAGGACACUCGGCUGGUGCACCACCGAGAGACUACUCUCUUUCAAGUGAUAGCCAAGACCGUAUCUUCGGCAUAUUCAGUGGCAUUGCAAUCAUCGCAACCACCUACGGCAAUGGUAUCAUUCCAGAGAUACAGG